RNAcentral lists this ribosomal RNA (300 nucleotides) under uncultured bacterium. RNAcentral's name for it is "bacterial SSU rRNA". It matches the Rfam family "Bacterial small subunit ribosomal RNA", at positions 187 to 507 of the family's 1533-position model. The record is from RNAcentral.
GGCAUCGGCUGGCAAUCAAAGGAGCAAUCCGCUGAAGAUGGGCUCGCGUCUGAUUAGAUAGUUGGUGAGGUAACGGCCCACCAAGUCGACGAUCAGUAGCCGGACUGAGAGGUUGAUCGGCCACAUUGGGACUGAGACACGGGCCCAAACUCCUACGGGAGGCAGCAUGGGGAAUAUUGCACAAUGGGGAAACCUGAUGCAGCGACGCCGCGUGAGUGAUGAAGUAUUUCGGUAUGUAAAACUCUAUCAGCAGGGAAGAUAAUGACGGUACCUGACUAAGAAGCACCGGCUAAAUACGUG